GAUGAACGCUGGCGGCGUGCCUAAUACAUGCAAGUCGAGCGAACAGACGAGAGUGCUUGCACUCUCUGACGUUAGCGGCGGACGGGUGAGUAACACGUGGGUAACCUACCUAUAAGACUGGGAUAACUUCGGGAAACCGGAGCUAAUACCGGAUAAUAUUUAGCUUCGCAUGAAGCAAUAGUGAAAGACGGUUCUGCUGUCACUUAUAGAUGGACCCGCGGUGUAUUAGCUAGUUGGUGAGGUAACGGCUCACCAAGGCAACGAUACAUAGCCGACCUGAGAGGGUGAUCGGCCACACUGGGACUGAGACACGGCCCAGACUCCUACGGGAGGCAGCAGUAGGGAAUCUUCCGCAAUGGACGAAAGUCUGACGGGGCAAUGCCGCGUGAGUGAAGAAGGUUUUCGGAUCGUAAAACUCUGUUGUAAGGGAAGAACAAGUACGUUAGUAACUGAACGUACCUUGACGGUACCUUACCAGAAAGCCACGGCUAACUACGUG
This 499-nucleotide ribosomal RNA is filed under the name uncultured bacterium. RNAcentral describes it as "partial 16S ribosomal RNA". It matches the Rfam family "Bacterial small subunit ribosomal RNA", at positions 28 to 507 of the family's 1533-position model. The record is from RNAcentral.